UACGUAGGAUCCAAGCGUUGUCCGGAUUUACUGGGCGUAAAGGGAGCGUAGGCGGACAUUUAAGUCAGGGGUGAAAUCCCAGAGCUCAACUCUGGAACUGCCUUUGAUACUGGGUGUCUUGAGUGUGAUAGAGGUAUGUGGAACUCCGAGUGUAGAGGUGAAAUUCGUAGAUAUUCGGAAGAACACCAGUGGCGAAGGCGACAUACUGGAUCAUUACUGACGCUUAGGCUCGAAAGCGUGGGGAGCAAACAGG
Molecule: ribosomal RNA, 253 nt
Filed under: uncultured bacterium
Lineage: Bacteria
Description: partial 16S ribosomal RNA
Rfam family: Bacterial small subunit ribosomal RNA
Source: RNAcentral